This 331-nucleotide ribosomal RNA is filed under the name uncultured Flavobacteriales bacterium. RNAcentral's name for it is "bacterial SSU rRNA". It matches the Rfam family "Bacterial small subunit ribosomal RNA", at positions 404 to 729 of the family's 1533-position model. Lineage: Bacteria; Pseudomonadati; Bacteroidota; Flavobacteriia; Flavobacteriales. The record is from RNAcentral.
CCGGAUGACGGUCCUAUGGAUUGUAAACUGCUUUUAUACAGGAAGAAACACCUCUACGUCUAGAGACUUGACGGUACUGUAAGAAUAAGGAUCRGGCUAACUCCGUGCCAGCAGCCCCGGUAAUACGGAGGAUCCAAGCGUUAUCCGGAAUCAUUGGGUUUAAAGGGUCCGUAGGCGGUUAGAUAAGUCAGUGGUGAAAGCCCAUCGCUCAACGGUGGAAAUGGCCAUUGAUACUGUCUGACUUGAAUUAUUAGGAAGUAACUAGAAUAUGUAGUGGUAGCGGUGAAAUGCUUAGAGAUUACAUGGAAUACCAAUUGCGAAGGCAAGUCAC